CCUACGGGAGGCAGCAGUGGGGAAUAUUGCGCAAUGGGCGAAAGCCUGACGCAGCGACGCCGCGUGCGGGAUGAAGGUCUUCGGAUCGUAAACCUCUGUCAGCAGGGAAGUACGGUCACUGUGGUAAUCAGCAGUGAAUUGACGGUACCUGCAAAGGAAGCACCGGCUAACUCCGUGCCAGCAGCCGCGGUAAUACGGAGGGUGCGAGCGUUAAUCGGAAUUACUGGGCGUAAAGCGAUCGUAGGCGGUAUGUCAAGUCAAGGGUGAAAGCACCGCGCUCAACGUGGGAACUGCCUUUGAAACUGGCAAACUGGAGUGUGCGGGAGGAUGGUGGAAUUCCAGGUGUAGGAGUGAAAUCCGUAGAUAUCUGGAGGAACCUCGGUUGCGAAGGCGACUAUCUGGCACAUAACUGACGCUGAGGAGCGAAAGCGUGGGUAGCAAACAGGAUUAGAUACCCGGGUAGUC
This 465-nucleotide ribosomal RNA is filed under the name uncultured bacterium. RNAcentral's name for it is "partial 16S ribosomal RNA". It matches the Rfam family "Bacterial small subunit ribosomal RNA", at positions 338 to 795 of the family's 1533-position model. The record is from RNAcentral.